This 1314-nucleotide long non-coding RNA is filed under the name Homo sapiens (human). RNAcentral describes it as "HSALNT0346070". Lineage: Eukaryota; Metazoa; Chordata; Mammalia; Primates; Hominidae. The record is from RNAcentral.
GAGUUUUGCCUCUCUCACUGGCAGCAACCCAGCGCUUCCAUUGCUGACCUCUACCGACCUCUACCUGUGGUCCUUCCUCUACUGCAGCAGAGACACUGUUUUCUUCCUUUGUUCUUCCAACCCCAUGGGGAAUAUCACAGAAGUGAAGUGCAAUUCUCAUCAUGUCAUAUCAAGAGCACACACUAACAAACAACAUGACUUAUUGCUGAAUAUUGAACUUGAUCACCUGGCUGAGGUGAAUAAACUGACACUGGAACAUUCAGGAACUUCUUCAUGGUCAUGGUCACCCAGCUAGAGUGUGGAAGCCAGGCUGUCUGAUUCCAGGAUCUGUGUUCUUAAUCCUAUACAUAAGGAAGCCAUAAUGAGUCAACCACUAUUUUUAAGAUUCACAGAUGUUCGGGUCCAAUUCACCAGAAUGCCAAGUUAUACAGGGUUGUGGAAUCAAAAACUGCAAUUAGUAAUAAAAUGUGAUGCUAUCUAGAAUGUUUUUCAUACAUAUAUAUGCUUCUUGGGACUCUCCCUGCAGGUUAAGAGAAAUUGAGAAACGAUGGAGAAUUUAAGUGUUUUAGAUCCUACAUACAUUAGACUUAAAAAUAGUAACUAUGUACAUGAGUAUUUGUAAACUUAAGAAUGAACAUAACAUGAACCAUGUGGCACCUAUAAAAUGAAAAUAAAAUACCUACAAACCAAAUGAGAGCAAUAAAAGAAGCUUUAAGGACUUUCACUUCAGGGAGUCUGAAUUAGAUGCGCUUCUUCCCAUUCCUCCCUCUAAUUACAACAAGCUUGGACGUUACAUACAGAACAAACAGAAGGAGUCUCUGAAAGAUGAAGAGAAGGCAAGUAAGCUACAGACUUCACAAUGUAAGGAAUAAUAUGGUGGUGAGUUACAUUUGUGAUUUUUUUUUGUCUCAUAUCCCAUAAUAUCUCAUAUCUCAUAAUCAGUUAGAAAGCACAAUGGAAAAGUAUUCCACUGCCAAUGGUGUUAGAGAACUGCUCACAAAUUCAACAGAAAUGCACAGAUACCAAAGCAGAAAGGACAAUAAACAAGAGUCUUCAUGGUCAAAAGAUUAGAAGCUGCAGCUUUCAAUGGGAGGGACAGGUUCUGGACCACACUGCAGUGCUUUUCUGCUUUCUGUGCUUUCCCACUCUAGAGCUGAAGAAGGUAACGACCCCAAAAUGUCAAUAUACGUAGACCAAAAACCAGCCCCAAUAAAAGUCUGCUCUCUCUAGCCAAAGGACUACAGUAGGGCAGCCCAGCAAGACAGAAAACCUUCAGACAACCUACCCCAGCCAAACACUACCAAAAAAAGUAAA